Molecule: transfer RNA, 72 nt
Filed under: Pedospumella sp. Jangsampo120217C5
Lineage: Eukaryota; Chrysophyceae; Chromulinales; Chromulinaceae
Description: tRNA-Gln
Rfam family: tRNA
About the family: Transfer RNA (tRNA) molecules are approximately 80 nucleotides in length. Their secondary structure includes four short double-helical elements and three loops (D, anti-codon, and T loops).
Source: RNAcentral
UGGGGUGUAGCCAAGUGGUAAGGCAAUGGACUUUGACUCCAUCAUUCGCAGGUUCGAAUCCUUCCAUCCCAA